Molecule: ribosomal RNA, 1773 nt
Filed under: Heterocapsaceae environmental sample
Lineage: Eukaryota; Dinophyceae; Peridiniales; Heterocapsaceae
Description: SSU rRNA
Rfam family: Eukaryotic small subunit ribosomal RNA
Source: RNAcentral
CUGGUUGAUCCUGCCAGUAGUCAUAUGCUUGUUUCAAAGAUUAAGCCAUGCAAGUCUAAGUAUAAGCUUUUAUACGGCAAAACUGCGAAUAGCUCAUUACAACAGUUAUAAUUUACACGACGAUCAUUACCAAAUGGAUAUCCAUGGUAAUUCUGGAGCUAAUACAUGCAAAUACACCAGACUUUAGGGAAUGGUGGCAUUCAUUAGCCUUAGAACCAAUCAAGUAGUCAUACUUGUUCCUGGUGAUCAUAAUGACCGAGCGGAUCGCAUCACUGCGACAGUUCGUUCAAGUUUCUGACCUAUCAGCUCCCGUCGGUAGGGUAUUGGCCUACCGAGGCUGUGACGGGUAACGGGGAAUUAGGGUUCGAUUCCGGAGAGGGAGCCUGAGAAACGGCUACCACAUCUAAGGAUGGCAGCAGGCGCGCAAAUUACCCAAUCCCGACACGGGGAGGUAGUGACCAGAAAUAGCAACUCAGGACCUUCGGUUCUGCGAUUGCAAUGAGCGAAAAGCAAAACUAUUUGCGAGUACCUAUUGGAGGGCAAGUCUGGUGCCAGCAGCCGCGGUAAUUCCAGCUCCAAUAGCGUAUAUUAAAAUUGCUGCAGUUAAAGCGUCCGUAGUUGAAUUUCGUUCAAAUUGAAUUGUGCCGUAUUUUCCUCGUGUUAGUUCGAGUACUUUUCGAUUAGAACUUGGGUGAGAUGUAUUCGUUUCGGCGAGUUCGUUUCGCUCCGUUACUUUGAGCAAAUUGGAGUGCUCCAACCAGGCUUAAGCUUGAACAGCUCAGCAUGGAAUAACAAGAUAAGACUUUAGUUCUUCUUGUUGGUGACAUGAACUAAUAGUAAUGGUUGAUAAGGACAUACGGGGGCAUUUGUACUUGCUGGAGAGAGGUGAAAUUCUAAGACCCAGCAAAGACAAACAAGUGCGAAAGCAUUUGCCCAGUGUGUACCUGUUAAUCAAGGACGAAAGUUGGGGGAUCGAAGACGAUUAGAUACCGUCGUAGUCCCAACUAUAAACUAUGCCGACUGAGGAUCGGAGGCCGUACUUUUACGACUCCUUCGGCACUCCAAGAGAAAUCUAAGUCUCUGGGACCUGGGGGGAGUAUGGUCGCAAGGCUGAAACUUAAAGGAAUUGACGGAAGGGCACCACCAGGAGUGGAGCCUGCGGCUUAAUUUGACUCAACGCGGGGAACCUCACCAGGCCCGGACAUAGUCAUGAUUGACAGAUUGAGAGUUCUUUCUCGAUUCUAUGGGUGNUGGUGCAUGGCCGUUCUUAGUCGGUGAGGUGACUUGUCUGGUUAAUUCCGAUAACGGACGAGACCUCGACCUACUAACUAGCUACUGAUUACUUCGGUAAGCAGCCAGCUUCUUAGAGGAACUUUGUGAGUCUAUCACAAGGAAGUUCGAGCCUAUAACAGGUCUGUGAUGCCCUUAGAUGGCCUGGGCUGCACGUGCGCUACAAUGACAGAGUCAGCGAGUAUUACCCUUCUCCGUCCGGAGUGGGCAAUCUUUUGAAACUCUGUCGUGAUAGGGAUUGACCCUUGCAAUUAUGGGUCAUGAACGAGGAAUUCCUAGUAAGGACAAGUCAUCACCUUGUGCUGAUUACGUCCCUGCCCUUUGUACACACCGCCCGUCGCUUCAACCGAUUGGAUGAUCCGGCAAACUACAUGGACUUUUGAUGUCGCUUUGCUCACGCAUCGCACUUCGAAAGGAAGUGUCGUGAGCCUUAUCAUCUAGAGGAUGAAGAAGUCGUAACACGGUAUCCGUAGGUGACCUGCG